ACGCUCGACACCACGGGAGCAGCAGUGGGGAAUAUUGCACAAUGGGGGAAACCCUGAUGCAGCGACGCCGCGUGAGCGAAGAAGUAUUUCGGUAUGUAAAGCUCUAUCAGCAGGGAAGAAACUGACGGUACCUGACUAAGAAGCACCGGCUAAAUACGUGCCAGCAGCCGCGGUAAUCUGAGCGGGCUGGCAAGGC
Molecule: ribosomal RNA, 196 nt
Filed under: uncultured bacterium
Lineage: Bacteria
Description: partial 16S ribosomal RNA
Rfam family: Bacterial small subunit ribosomal RNA
Source: RNAcentral